UAAAUUACUCUCCUUUUGGAAAUUUAGUGAGUUCCGUUCAUUUAUGGUUCGCAGCUAAAACUUCUUUUUCCCUUUCCAGAUUUUUAAUCUCUAUUUUCAAAACCUUAAAUUUUGAAGACCAAAGAUCUUUGGUUUUUAGUUCUAUUAAUUGCAAUGAAAAUAGUCUUUUGUCGAUAGAUGAGAACGAUGGAAAAUGAAUUUAUCUAGUCUCCGCUAUGAUGUUAAGAACAUUAACG
Cinara cedri is the source of this 236-nucleotide non-coding RNA. The record is from the annotation of a GenBank genome assembly. NCBI's taxonomy places the organism in Eukaryota, Metazoa, Arthropoda, Insecta, Hemiptera, Aphididae.